UACGUAGGUGACAAGCGUUGUCCGGAUUUACUGGGCGUAAAGAGCGCGCAGGCGGUCGUUCAAGUCGAGUGUGAAAGCCCCCGGCUCAACUGGGGAGGGUCACUCGAUACUGAUCGACUCGAAGGCAGGAGGGGGAAGUGGAAUUCCCGGUGUAGUGGUGAAAUGCGUAGAUAUCAGGAGGAACACCGGUGGCGAAGGCGGGUCUCUGGGCCGAUACUGACGCUGAGGAGCGAAAGCAUGGGUAGCGAACAGG
Molecule: ribosomal RNA, 253 nt
Filed under: uncultured bacterium
Lineage: Bacteria
Description: partial 16S ribosomal RNA
Rfam family: Bacterial small subunit ribosomal RNA
Source: RNAcentral